AUGGGUUCCAGCAAGGGCAGUGCGGCCUUAUUUGUCGGCAUCACCUUCAUCUGCCGUGCCAUCAUCAUGAAUGCUGCAUGGGUACCUUCACAGCCUAAGACUAAUGUGUGGGUGACGCUUGCCAGGGCCAUUGGACAGAACACUCUCUGCCUGUCAAUGUCGUCCUCUGACUCCCCAUUUACUACGUGUCUGGUAGGGCUCCCCCUUGAUCAAGGGAAGUGGGAACAACUGGCUCACACCACUAGCGCUUCUUCAGUGGUGCAGGAGGAGAAGGUCUGGGGAGGGAACUGGACGGUGGAUAUGUGGGACCAAUGGGUACCUCACUUGCCUCCAAUGCCACUACCCCCACAGGAGUUAGAACUUUUGGGAUCAGUAAAAAUGGAUUGGUGUGUGUUUUUCAAUUAUUCUGGUAACGAUCAAUUUCUUUCAUGGUCAGUCAAUGCUACAAUGCUGGCAUAUAGAAACGCGUCAGCCUGGUGUAAUUACACAUCUUUAAAUAUUUCAAAAUCAAGUAACUUACCCCUUCAACUACCCCGAGGGGUAUUCUUAAUAUGUGGAGAUCGUGCGUGGCCGGCCAUUCCACCAUAUAUUAAAGGAGGGCCUUGCUCUUUGGGUAGGUUGACUUUAUUGAUGCCAAAUCUGACUAUGAUCGUUGCAAAACAUCACAAUCAUAAUAGGAUCCAAAGAAGCAUUCAUGCUUUUGAUAAAAAUUGCAAAGACGAGAUUAAGUUUUGGAACAGGGAAGCAAUUGUGUUUUCGUCACUCUUUACUCCGGGGUUAUCGGCUAGUAAGGCACUAAUUAGCUUGAAUAAGCUGGGAUGCUGGCUUAGCAAGCAGACUAACGCAACCUCACAAGCACUUUCAGGACUGUUACAGGAUGUUGACUCAGUUCGUCACGCUACAUUGCAGCACAGAGCUGCUAUUGACUUUCUACUUCUUGCACAUAGACAUGGCUGUGAGGACAUUGAAGGAACGUGCUGUAUGAAUUUAUCGGAUCACUCCACCUCCAUCCAUCAGAGCAUUCAGCAACUGCAGGAGGGUGUGCAUAAGUUACAUGAGGGAACUUCAUGGGAGUGGUUUGAUGGGUGGUUUCAAGGUCUGGACCCCGGCGUUCAGAAACUAGUUAACUUAGUGCUAAUGUGUCUCUUGAUUGUGUGCCAUUUAAUCUGUAUUCCUUUCAUUGUAUGCUGUGUAAGAGCCAUGAUUAAGAAAGCAACAGAUCAAGUACUUGUUCAGGUUAAUAGAGACUUUUCUUAUUAUUAG
Molecule: long non-coding RNA, 1263 nt
Filed under: Numida meleagris (helmeted guineafowl)
Lineage: Eukaryota; Metazoa; Chordata; Aves; Galliformes; Numididae
Description: lncRNA (ENSNMEG00000001262.1)
Source: RNAcentral